Non-coding RNA from Manis pentadactyla (Chinese pangolin), 576 nucleotides. NCBI's taxonomy places the organism in Eukaryota, Metazoa, Chordata, Mammalia, Pholidota, Manidae. The record is from the annotation of a RefSeq genome assembly.
GUCGGGGCCACAGAAGGCAGGACUCAGGGAGACUCCAAAAUGGCCUGGGCCCCUCUGCUCCUCACCCUCCUGGCUCAGUGCACAGGGUCCUGGGCCCAGUCUGGGCUGACUCAGCCGCCCUCGGUGUCGGGGUCCCCGGGCCAGAGGGUCACCAUCCCCUGCACUGGAAGCAGCUCCAACAUUGGGGCUUACUUUGUGAACUGGUACCAGCAGCUCCCAGGAUCGGCCCCCAGACUCCUCAUCUAUGAUGAUAGUGACAGAGCCUCGGGGGUCCCGGACCGAUUCUCUGGCUCCAUGUCUGGCACUUCCAGCUCCCUGACAAUCACUGGGCUGCAGGCUGAGGACGAGGCCGACUACUACUGCUCAGCGUGCGACGACAGCUUAAAUGGUCUCACAGUGCUUCAGGCCUGUGGGGAAGGGGGACCAAAACCUUCUGCGCAGCCCCGUCCUCUGCCACGCGAGGGGCUCCCGGGGGCCUGGGAGCUGCUCCUGCCUCAGCCUGACAGUCUGGCGGCCACACUGGCUCCGAUCCCACCCAGACCUGCCCCCGACGCCACGGGCAGCAACGACCUGUAG